RNAcentral lists this transfer RNA (77 nucleotides) under Rhodospirillales bacterium. Its description in RNAcentral is "tRNA-Asp". It matches the Rfam family "tRNA". Rfam says of the family: Transfer RNA (tRNA) molecules are approximately 80 nucleotides in length. Their secondary structure includes four short double-helical elements and three loops (D, anti-codon, and T loops). Further hydrogen bonds mediate the characteristic L-shaped molecular structure. tRNAs have two regions of fundamental functional importance: the anti-codon, which is responsible for specific mRNA codon recognition, and the 3' end, to which the tRNAs corresponding amino acid is attached (by aminoacyl-tRNA synthetases). tRNAs cope with the degeneracy of the genetic code in two manners: having more than one tRNA (with a specific anti-codon) for a particular amino acid; and 'wobble' base-pairing, i.e. permitting non-standard base-pairing at the 3rd anti-codon position. The record is from RNAcentral. Lineage: Bacteria; Pseudomonadati; Pseudomonadota; Alphaproteobacteria; Rhodospirillales.
GGGGGUGUAGCUCAGCUGGUUAGAGUGCCGGCCUGUCACGCCGGAGGUCGCGGGUUCGAGUCCCGUCACUCCCGCCA